This is a long non-coding RNA of Thalassophryne amazonica, 142 nucleotides long. RefSeq lists it as uncharacterized. The record is from RefSeq and is a predicted model, not a curated record. The transcript is spliced from 3 exons. NCBI's taxonomy places the organism in Eukaryota, Metazoa, Chordata, Actinopteri, Batrachoidiformes, Batrachoididae.
UUGCAUGUAAAUAAUAAAUUUUGGCAAAGGUUAAGGAAUUUGAUUUUCAACCCAAUUUGGACCAAAGGCGGCACACACGUAGGUGGAUUCAAGAACUACCAUGUCAAGGUCAGCCAAAGGGCAAUCAUUUGGAUGAAGGUCA